UCGUCUAGCUGGUUAGGACGCCGCCCUGACGCGGCGGAGGUCCUGGGUUCGAAUCCC
Molecule: transfer RNA, 57 nt
Filed under: Desulfurococcaceae archaeon
Lineage: Archaea; Thermoproteati; Thermoproteota; Thermoprotei; Desulfurococcales; Desulfurococcaceae
Description: tRNA-Val
Rfam family: tRNA
About the family: Transfer RNA (tRNA) molecules are approximately 80 nucleotides in length. Their secondary structure includes four short double-helical elements and three loops (D, anti-codon, and T loops).
Source: RNAcentral